CUGGUAGUGGGGGAUAACGUUCGGAAACGGACGCUAAUACCGCAUACGUCCUACGGGAGAAAGCAGGGGACCUUCGGGCCUUGCGCUAUCAGAUGAGCCUAGGUCGGAUUAGCUAGUUGGUGAGGUAAUGGCUCACCAAGGCUACGAUCCGUAACUGGUCUGAGAGGAUGAUCAGUCACACUGGAACGGAGACACGGUCCAGACUCGUAGGGGAGGCAGCAGUGGGGAAUAUUGGACAAUGGGCGAAAGCCUGAU
Molecule: ribosomal RNA, 255 nt
Filed under: uncultured bacterium
Lineage: Bacteria
Description: partial 16S ribosomal RNA
Rfam family: Bacterial small subunit ribosomal RNA
Source: RNAcentral